RNAcentral lists this ribosomal RNA (175 nucleotides) under uncultured bacterium. RNAcentral describes it as "partial 16S ribosomal RNA". It matches the Rfam family "Bacterial small subunit ribosomal RNA", at positions 168 to 354 of the family's 1533-position model. The record is from RNAcentral.
ACCGGAUGACCUGGGGACAGCAAAGGCUUGCCGCCCGGGGCGGGGCCCACGUGGUAUUAGCUGGUUGGUGGGGUAACGGCCCACCAAGGCGACGAUGCCUAGCGGGUGUGAGAGCACGACCCGCGCCACUGGCACUGAGACACUGGCCAGACACCCACGGGUGGCUGCAGAAUCG